Molecule: long non-coding RNA, 572 nt
Filed under: Sus scrofa (pig)
Lineage: Eukaryota; Metazoa; Chordata; Mammalia; Artiodactyla; Suidae
Description: lncRNA (ENSSSCG00015062897.1)
Source: RNAcentral
GUCUGCGCAUCUCGGUUGCCAUAGAAACAUGACGUCAUUACCGCGACCAUGACGACUUAUCUCUAGAGACCGACGUAGCGUGACGAGGGGAGCGGGUCCCGCCUUGGGGGUUCAGGACUGAGUUGGGAGAGUGGGUACCUGCGGUGGGGGCUGGGCCGCUCUGGGGUGUGAGGAGACAAAGGGAUCUCGUCCAAGUCGCCUCUUUCUCGCUUUGGAGCUCGAUGCCCUGGCUGUCUCGGCGGUAAAGCCAUUGGGGUCCCGCCCCGGCCGCAGUGAGUGCGGUGUCCUGUUCCAGGGGUGCCCUGGAGCCACUUUCCUUCUAGAGGCAGGGGCGCGUCAGGUGAAUUUCCAGGACUCAGGAUGAAAUUUGGACUGAACUUGCUUGGAAUGGAGUCCAUUCAAGGUCAUACACCAUGAGGUGGGUACUAACAUCCAUCUUGCUCCCUGUGCACAUUUCCAGUUAUGAAGAUCUAGAGAUCAAUGGGGACAAGAUGUGGGAUGCAGAUAUUUAAUUGGUCUGACAGUGCCUGGCACAGAAUAAACACCCAGUACACAUGAAUAAAUGAAUGAGA